This is a long non-coding RNA of Monodelphis domestica (gray short-tailed opossum), 641 nucleotides long. RefSeq lists it as uncharacterized. NCBI's taxonomy places the organism in Eukaryota, Metazoa, Chordata, Mammalia, Didelphimorphia, Didelphidae. The record is from RefSeq and is a predicted model, not a curated record.
CAGAGCCGAAGCUUGGCUUUGGCUGAGGAGCUGUGAGAGUGUGAGGCUCUGCAUUUUGUGCACCUUUGAGAGAUCGUCUUCCUCUGAGGAAUUUCAUUGCAUCUAAUCAAUUGUGCUGCUGGACUUAUUUCUUAACAGGUUCCGAAGUUCCUGAAGAUCACUGAGUCCGUUCGGCAGGUGGUCUACAGAGGAUUCAGCUGGUAUCUUUCCUUGGUGUACACAGUACUAGGAUAACUCAACCGGCUGGCUUGUCAAUUUGCCAGCUGUGGUGGUGGGACUAAAGGAAGAGGAUUUCACUUAGAAGCAAAUUCUGGCUCUUGAAAGAUUUCCUGGCAGGAUGAGGCAUCUGAGAGGGAAACUGAAGAAGGAGAGCGCAAGAGAAAAGAGGGAACGGAGAAAGUCAAUGAUGGAGGCCCGGCGACAGGUCACCACUGUGGUGCUACCCACAAUGGUUAUCCUGAUUCUCUUUGUUGUAAUUCUUAUCUACAUAGUGACCCGUCCUCCCUCCCAAAAGUGCUCUGUGGCAAAUAACAAAACUUGAAAGAAUGUACCAGGAGAAUUUGAGAUAUUAUAAACCUUCAGGGGCUACUCAUUGAUUAGCAUUUCCCAAGUCUGUAUGAAAUGAAAUAAAAGAUGUAUUC